This 220-nucleotide ribosomal RNA is filed under the name uncultured Glomus. Its description in RNAcentral is "partial small subunit ribosomal RNA". It matches the Rfam family "Eukaryotic small subunit ribosomal RNA", at positions 591 to 817 of the family's 1831-position model. The record is from RNAcentral. Lineage: Eukaryota; Fungi; Glomeromycota; Glomeromycetes; Glomerales; Glomeraceae.
CCAAUAGCGUAUAUUAAAGUUGUUGCAGUUAAAAAGCUCGUAGUUGAAUUUCGGAAUCAAUAUGCCGGUCAUGCCUUGGUAUGCACUGGUAUCUUUGAUUUCUCCCUUCUGACGAACUUUGAUGUCAUUAAUUUGGUGUCAUAGGGAAUCAGGACUGUUACUUUGAAAAAAUUAGAGUGUUUAAAGCAAGCUCACGCUUGAAUACAUUAGCAUGGAAUAA